CGAUGGAGGGGGAUAACUACUGGAAACGGUAGCUAAUACCGCAUAACGUCGCAAGACCAAAGAGGGGGACCUUAGGGCCUCUUGCCAUCGGAUGUGCCCAGAUGGGAUUAGCUAGUAGGUGGGGUAAAGGCUCACCUAGGCGACGAUCCCUAGCUGGUCUGAGAGGAUGACCAGCCACACUGGAACUGAGACACGGUCCAG
RNAcentral lists this ribosomal RNA (201 nucleotides) under uncultured bacterium. RNAcentral describes it as "partial 16S ribosomal RNA". It matches the Rfam family "Bacterial small subunit ribosomal RNA", at positions 131 to 334 of the family's 1533-position model. The record is from RNAcentral.